RNAcentral lists this ribosomal RNA (778 nucleotides) under uncultured bacterium. Its description in RNAcentral is "bacterial SSU rRNA". It matches the Rfam family "Bacterial small subunit ribosomal RNA", at positions 66 to 837 of the family's 1533-position model. The record is from RNAcentral.
GCAGCAUGAACUUAGCUUGCUAAGUUUGAUGGCGACCGGCGCACGGGUGAGUAACACGUAUCCAACCUGCCGAUGACUCGGGGAUAGCCUUUCGAAAGAAAGAUUAAUACCCGAUGGCAUAGUUCUUCCGCAUGGUGGAACUAUUAAAGAAUUUCGGUCAUCGAUGGGGAUGCGUUCCAUUAGGUUGUUGGCGGGGUAACGGCCCACCAAGCCUUCGAUGGAUAGGGGUUCCGAGAGGAAGGUCCCCCACAUUGGAACUGAGACACGGUCCAAACUCCUACGGGAGGCAGCAGUGAGGAAUAUUGGUCAAUGGACGAGAGUCUGAACCAGCCAAGUAGCGUGAAGGAUGACUGCCCUAUGGGUUGUAAACUUCUUUUAUACGGGAAUAAAGUGAGGCACGUGUGCCUUUUUGUAUGUACCGUAUGAAUAAGGAUCGGCUAACUCCGUGCCAGCAGCCGCGGUAAUACGGAGGAUCCGAGCGUUAUCCGGAUUUAUUGGGUUUAAAGGGAGCGUAGGCGGACGCUUAAGUCAGUUGUGAAAGUUUGCGGCUCAACCGUAAAAUUGCAGUUGAUACAGGGUGUCUUGAGUACAGUAGAGGCAGGCGGAGUUCGUGGUGUAGCGGUGAAAUGCUUAGAUAUCACGAAGAACUCCGAUUGCGAAGGCAGCCUGCUGGACUGUAACUGACGCUGAUGCUCGAAAGUGUGGGUAUCAAACAGGAUUAGAUACCCUGGUAGUCCACACAGUAAACGAUGAAUACUCGCUGUUUGCGAUAUACAGU